GAUAUACUCUCUCCAUCCAACAAAGGAUGUCUCAACUUUGAACAAAUUUGAAUGAAUUUAUACACUAAGUCAUGUCUACAUACAUCCAAAUUUUGACAAACUUCAGACAUCUUUUGUUAGACGGAGGAAGUAUGUU
This is a non-coding RNA of Brachypodium distachyon (stiff brome), 136 nucleotides long. The record is from Rfam. NCBI's taxonomy places the organism in Eukaryota, Viridiplantae, Streptophyta, Magnoliopsida, Poales, Poaceae.